RNAcentral lists this ribosomal RNA (222 nucleotides) under uncultured bacterium. RNAcentral's name for it is "partial 16S ribosomal RNA". It matches the Rfam family "Bacterial small subunit ribosomal RNA", at positions 1281 to 1500 of the family's 1533-position model. The record is from RNAcentral.
GACAGUCUCAGUUCGGAUUGAAGGCUGAAAUUCGCCUUCAUGAAGCCGGAAUUGCUAGUAAUGGCAGGUCAGCAUACUGCCGUGAAUACGUUCCCGGGCCUUGUACACACCGCCCGUCACACCGUGAGAGUUGGGGAUACCCGAAGCCUGUGAGCCAACUAUUUAUAGAGGCAGCAGUCGAAGGUAGAAUCAAUGAUUGGGGUGAAGUCGUAACAAGGUAUC